Long non-coding RNA from Lycium barbarum (goji berry), 530 nucleotides. RefSeq lists it as uncharacterized. The record is from RefSeq and is a predicted model, not a curated record. Lineage: Eukaryota; Viridiplantae; Streptophyta; Magnoliopsida; Solanales; Solanaceae. The transcript is spliced from 3 exons.
AAACAAAGUUGAACAAUAGUCUCCACGGCGGAAAUUCACGGAAUAGAUGCACCAAUAUAUUUUUAAUUAUUUGCAUAACAAAGGACAAUCGGUAAGAAGUGACAACUAUGGCAGACAAAGAAGACCAUUUGCCAGAAGUUGAUUACACUAAAGGGUACAAAAUCAUUUAUUAUGGGGGUGACCUGAUUGAAGCGUAAUGAUAAGGUGGGAACUACACAUUAGAACUUGAUACUGUCGUUGAGAACGAGGCUGGUAAUUGAAGACUUUGUGAGUAGAUUCUGUUGCUGAGGUGAGCUACCGCAUUGUUCGUGGAGGCAGCCAUUUCAGCUUUAACUAGUUUAUUUCUAGUUAUUUCUUUUAUUUUGGGUUUACAUGCCCGACACUCAAACUCAUGUAACUCUGUUAGAUGCUCCAUGGUCUUAGCGUGCGAUGUGGGCUAGAGAUUCUUUUUAUCUUAGCGUUGAUUGGUUUUCAUAAAUCGAUUAUGGAUUUGGUUGGCGACUAUUUCGCAUUUUUAAUAUUAAUAACGU